Molecule: ribosomal RNA, 1856 nt
Filed under: Vibrio cyclitrophicus FF75
Lineage: Bacteria; Pseudomonadati; Pseudomonadota; Gammaproteobacteria; Vibrionales; Vibrionaceae
Description: bacterial LSU rRNA
Rfam family: Bacterial large subunit ribosomal RNA
Source: RNAcentral
UCAUAAUCAGUGAAAACGAGUAGGGCGGGACACGUGAUAUCCUGUCUGAAUAUGGGGGGACCAUCCUCCAAGGCUAAAUACUACUGACUGACCGAUAGUGAACCAGUACCGUGAGGGAAAGGCGAAAAGAACCCCUGUGAGGGGAGUGAAAUAGAACCUGAAACCGUGUACGUACAAGCAGUAGGAGCACCUUCGUGGUGUGACUGCGUACCUUUUGUAUAAUGGGUCAGCGACUUAAUUUUAGUAGCAAGGUUAACCGUUUAGGGGAGCCGUAGGGAAACCGAGUCUUAACUGGGCGUACAGUUGCUAGGAUUAGACCCGAAACCAGGUGAUCUAGCCAUGGGCAGGUUGAAGGUUGAGUAACAUCAACUGGAGGACCGAACCGACUAAUGUUGAAAAAUUAGCGGAUGACUUGUGGCUAGGGGUGAAAGGCCAAUCAAACCUGGAGAUAGCUGGUUCUCCCCGAAAGCUAUUUAGGUAGCGCCUCGGACGAAUACUACUGGGGGUAGAGCACUGUUAAGGCUAGGGGGUCAUCCCGACUUACCAACCCUUUGCAAACUCCGAAUACCAGUAAGUACUAUCCGGGAGACACACGGCGGGUGCUAACGUCCGUCGUGGAGAGGGAAACAACCCAGACCGCCAGCUAAGGUCCCAAAGUAUAGCUAAGUGGGAAACGAUGUGGGAAGGCUCAGACAGCCAGGAUGUUGGCUUAGAAGCAGCCAUCAUUUAAAGAAAGCGUAAUAGCUCACUGGUCGAGUCGGCCUGCGCGGAAGAUGUAACGGGGCUAAGCUAUACACCGAAGCUGCGGCUACGUACCUUAGGGUAUGUGGGGUAGGGGAGCGUUCUGUAAGCCGUUGAAGGUGGUCUGUAAGGGCUGCUGGAGGUAUCAGAAGUGCGAAUGCUGACAUGAGUAACGAUAAAGGGAGUGAAAAACUCCCUCGCCGGAAGACCAAGGGUUCCUGUCCAACGUUAAUCGGGGCAGGGUAAGUCGACUCCUAAGGCGAGGCCGAAAGGCGUAGUCGAUGGGAAACGGGUUAAUAUUCCCGUACUUCUUACAAUUGCGAUGGGGGGACGGAGAAGGCUAGGUGGGCCUGGCGACGGUUGUCCAGGUUCAAGUACGUAGGCGGGUGGUUUAGGUAAAUCCGGACCGCUACUAACGCUGAGAUACGAUGUCGAGCUACUACGGUAGUGAAGUCAUUGAUGCCAUGCUUCCAGGAAAAGCCUCUAAGCUUCAGAUUGUAAGGAAUCGUACCCCAAACCGACACAGGUGGUCGGGUAGAGAAUACCAAGGCGCUUGAGAGAACUCGGGUGAAGGAACUAGGCAAAAUGGUACCGUAACUUCGGGAGAAGGUACGCUCUUAUCAGUGAAGUCCCUUGCGGAUGGAGCAGACGAGAGUCGCAGAUACCAGGUGGCUGCAACUGUUUAUUAAAAACACAGCACUGUGCAAAAUCGUAAGAUGACGUAUACGGUGUGACGCCUGCCCGGUGCCGGAAGGUUAAUUGAUGGGGUUAGACUUCGGUCGAAGCUCUUGAUCGAAGCCCCGGUAAACGGCGGCCGUAACUAUAACGGUCCUAAGGUAGCGAAAUUCCUUGUCGGGUAAGUUCCGACCUGCACGAAUGGCGUAAUGAUGGCCACGCUGUCUCCACCCGAGACUCAGUGAAAUUGAAAUCGCUGUGAAGAUGCAGUGUACCCGCGGCUAGACGGAAAGACCCCGUGAACCUUUACUACAGCUUGGCACUGAACAUUGAACCUACAUGUGUAGGAUAGGUGGGAGACUAUGAAAUUGCGUCGCUAGAUGUGAUGGAGUCGUCCUUGAAAUACCACCCUUGUAGUUUUGAUGUUCUAACGUUGGUCC